Molecule: ribosomal RNA, 188 nt
Filed under: Salmonella enterica subsp. enterica serovar Infantis
Lineage: Bacteria; Pseudomonadati; Pseudomonadota; Gammaproteobacteria; Enterobacterales; Enterobacteriaceae
Also listed under: 2 other names
Description: partial 16S ribosomal RNA
Rfam family: Bacterial small subunit ribosomal RNA
Source: RNAcentral
GCCACGGUGAAUACGUUCCCGGGCCUUGUACACACCGCCCGUCACACCAUGGGAGUGGGUUGCAAAAGAAGUAGGUAGCUUAACCUUCGGGAGGGCGCUUACCACUUUGUGAUUCAUGACUGGGGUGAAGUCGUAACAAGGUAACCGUAGGGGAACCUGCGGUUGGAUCACCUCCUUACCUUAAAGAA